AGGGAGUUUUCGGCAAUGGGGGAAACCCUGACCGAGCAACGCCGCGUGAGGGAUGACGGCCUUCGGGUUGUAAACCUCUUUCAGCAGGGAAGAAGCGAAAGUGACGGUACCUGCAGAAGAAGCGCCGGCUAACUACGUGCCAGCAGCCGCGGUAAUACGUAGGGCGCAAGCGUUGUCCGGAAUUAUUGGGCGUAAAGAGCUCGUAGGCGGUUAGUCGCGUCUGCUGUGAAAACUCGAGGCUCAACCUCGGGCUUGCAGUGGGUACGGGCUGACUAGAGUGCGGUAGGGGUGACUGGAAUUCCUGGUGUAGCGGUGGAAUGCGCAGAUAUCAGGAGGAACACCGAUGGCGAAGGCAGGUCACUGGGCCGCAACUGACGCUGAGGAGCGAAAGCAUGGGGAGCGAACA
This 406-nucleotide ribosomal RNA is filed under the name uncultured Cellulomonas sp. RNAcentral's name for it is "bacterial SSU rRNA". It matches the Rfam family "Bacterial small subunit ribosomal RNA", at positions 356 to 774 of the family's 1533-position model. Lineage: Bacteria; Bacillati; Actinomycetota; Actinomycetes; Micrococcales; Cellulomonadaceae. The record is from RNAcentral.